Molecule: ribosomal RNA, 2245 nt
Filed under: uncultured Pelagophyceae
Lineage: Eukaryota; Pelagophyceae
Description: partial Bacterial large subunit ribosomal RNA
Rfam family: Bacterial large subunit ribosomal RNA
Source: RNAcentral
GUAGAAAACUACAGCUUUAUGUAAAAAAAAGAGGGGAACUGAAACAUCUUAGUACCCUUAUUAAAAAUCAACCGAGAAUUCGUAAAUAGUGGUGAAUGAAAGCGAUCUAGGUUAAUAAUGAUAUACUUUUUUUAAUAAGAGACCAAAGAAGGUUCAAAGUCCUGUAAAUUUGAGAAUAGCUUUUUUUUAUUGUUGCAAUUCUCUUUUCUUGUAAUAAGUUUGGAGUACCAUCUUCAAAACCUAAUAACACCUAACAAUCGAUAGUGCAAAGUACUGUAAAGGAAAAGUGAAAAAAGAGCUUUAGCUUCUCAGUGAAAAGAUCCUGAAACUUAAUGUUUUUUUGCAAUUGACGCUUUUAAGCAACGGUGUACCUUUUGUAUAAUGAACCAACGACUUUUUAUAUACGGCGAGUUUAAAUCCAUAGGUGUUAGGCGUAGUGAAAACAAAAACAUAAAAAAAAGUCGUCUAUAAAAGACUCGAAACUAAGUGAUCUAACCAAAAACAGGUUGAAAAUCAAAUCAUAAUAUUUAUUGGAGGACCGAACUCGUGUAUGUUGCAAAAUACUGAGACGAUUUUUGGUUAGGGGUGAAAGGCUAAUCAAACUUAGCGAUAGCUAGUUUUCUGCGAAAUCUAUUUUAGUAGAGUUUUUAUUACAAAAUUUGAGGUAGAGCUCUUUUUUAGUGAUGGGGAAUUUACUUACUGAUCUUCCUAAAACUACGAAUGCAAAUUUUUUGUCUUAAAAAAUCAGACUUUAGGCGAUAAGGUUUAAUGUCUAAAGGGAAACAGCCCAGCUUGACCGCUAAGGACCUAAAAAAUAUAAAAGUUAAAAGGAGUUUUUUACCCCAAAAGGUCGUAAGGUAAACUUAGAAGCAGUUAUCCUAUAGUGAAAGCGUAGUAGCUCAUCGGCCGAGGUAUUUAGCACUGAAAAUGUAAUGGGUUUAAAAAUAUUUUCCGAAGCGGCAAAAUAUUCGAUCUCAGUCUAAACUCAGAUCAAAUAUUGGUAGUAGAAUCUUCUGUUAUAUAAAAAAGUUCUUUUGUCAAAAAGGAUGCAAGUUAUCAGAAGUAAAGAUGUUGGUAUGAGUAAUAUUAAAGAAUUGUGUAAACAUUCUCGCCAAAAACUUAAGGUUUUCGAUAUAAUAUUAUUUUUUGUCGAGUGUGGUAAAUCGAUCCCUAAGAGAAAAGUGAAAACCGAACUUAAUGGGAAAAAAUAUGUGUUAUUAGAAAUACGUGACAAAAAUAGAUUUUUAAUUAAAAUAAAAAUUUAAUUAUUGUUUUUUUUUCAAGAAAUAGCUGUUUUGUAAAAAUCGUACCCCAAACUAACACAAGUAGGUUGGUUGAAGAAACUAAGGCGUUGAGAAAAUUAUGUAAAAGGAACUCGGCAAAUUUCUUCUGUAUCUUCGGUAGAAAGAAGGACUAUUGCGCAAAAAAGCGUUUUAGUUGUCACAAAAUUAGAAAAAGCGACUGGUUAAUAAAACCACAAGUCAUAGCAAAUUCGUAAGAAAAAGUAUUGUGGCUGACACCUGUCCGGUGCUGAAAUGUUAAGAAAAACAUGUCUAGGCUUUUUUUUUAAGCAUCAGUAAACGACAGCUGUAACUCUGACAGUUCAAAGGUAGCAAAAUUCUUUGUCAAUUAAUUGUUGACCCGCAUGAAUGGUGUAACGACUUUUUCACUGUCUCUUACAUAAGCUUAAUGAAAUUGAAUUUUUCGUGAAGAUGCGAAAGUUUUACAAAAAGACGAAAAGACCCUAUGAUGCUUUACUAUACCAAUAUGUUGUUGCUAUUUAAUUUUUGUGCAGUAGUAGGUGGGAGUGAUUUGCUUUACACUAAUGAAAUACCACUCUUAAUUUAAUUGGCAACUAACUCUUUUAAGAACAGCGUAUUUUUGGUAGUUUUGUUGGGGCGACAACCUUCUAAAAAGUAACGAAGGUGUACAAAGGUUAGUUAAAGUAUUUUUUUACUGGAUUGUAUAAUAGCAAAAACUAGCUUGACUGUGAAGAAAACAUUCCAAACAGGAGCUUUUUGCUGGUUAUAGUGAUCUGAUACUUUUGAAUGGAAAAAUUAUCACUUAACGAAUAAAAGCAACUCUAGGGAUAACAGGUUUAUGAUACUUUCGAGUCCAAAUCUGCAGUAUCGUUUGACACCUCGAUGUCGACUUAUCGCGUCCUGAAAUUGAAGUAGAUUUCAAGGGUUUGUCUGUUCGCCAAUUAAAGCGGUACAUUAGUUGGGUUUAGAACGUCGUGAGACAG